AGACAAUCACUUCGGUUGGCUUGGAAACAGAUGCAACCAGAGUCAAACCAUAAGACAAGACAGAAAUUUCACCCAAUACUUUGAUUAAAGCCUUGUUGGGUACCCAGAGGACUCUGCUAAGUCAUGCCCAAGUUCUAACCCACAGGAGCUACAUCACUUCAUAACCAAGGAAUUAGAGAGAGACCAAUGACAGACCCCACUAACAAAUCUACUAGCUGUCUCUGCAGAAGCCUGGACUCAAGGUCAACUGGAACAAGCAAGGCCCUGCAUUCCUUACCUGAAAUAACAAGCCCAAGACCCUAUCUAGUUUGUAACAUCCCUGGAAGCAGGUCCAUAACCCCUUCUCCUUGCCCUAAGAUAACCUCCUCAUGUCAGGGCCUGAAUUUUGCCUCUUUCUAAUGUUCUCUCCACCCCAAAGUGAACAGGGACUAUAUGGCACAUACAUGUUUGAUCAUUGUACAUGUUCCAACAUUCCUCAUGAAUAGUCAUAAGUUCCCCCAUCCUUUUCAUCAGUAUGUAUGUCAUUUCAACUGCUAUGAUUAUAAAAAAUCUGUUCUCUCCCCUUUCAGGGAGGCAGAUUGGAAACCUGCCCUCCUGUCUCCUCAUCUGACUGCCUCUUGAAUA
This is a long non-coding RNA of Canis lupus familiaris (dog), 624 nucleotides long. RefSeq lists it as uncharacterized. The record is from RefSeq and is a predicted model, not a curated record. NCBI's taxonomy places the organism in Eukaryota, Metazoa, Chordata, Mammalia, Carnivora, Canidae. The transcript has 3 exons.